GACGGGGGCCCGCACAAGCAGCGGAGCAUGUGGUUUAAUUCGACGCAACGCGAAGAACCUUACCAGGUCUUGACAUCCAGUAAAAGCCAUAGAGAUAUGGUGUGAGCUUGCUCAUACUGAGACAGGUGGUGCAUGGUUGUCGUCAGCUCGUGUCGUGAGAUGUUGGGUUAAGUCCCGCAACGAGCGCAACCCUUAUUUUCAGUUACUAACGCGCAAUGGCGAGGACUCUGAAGAGACUGCCGGGGACAACUCGGAGGAAGGUGGGGACGACGUCAAAUCAUCAUGCCCCUUAUGACCUGGGCUACACACGUGCUACAAUGGCCACCACAGAGAGGAGCGAACCUGCGAGGGGGAGCGGAUCUCAAAAAAGUGGUCCCAGUUCGGAUUGUGGGCUGCAACCCGCCCACAUGAAGUCGGAGUUGCUAGUAAUCGCGGAUCAGCAUGCCGCGGUGAAUACGUUCCCGGGCCUUGUACACACCGCCCGUCACACCAUGGGAGUUGGGAGUGCCCAAAGUCGGUGAGGUAACCGCAAGGAGCCAGCCGCCUAAGGCAAGACCAAUGACUGGGGUGAAGUCGUAACAAGGUAGCCGUUCGAAG
RNAcentral lists this ribosomal RNA (597 nucleotides) under uncultured bacterium. RNAcentral describes it as "bacterial SSU rRNA". It matches the Rfam family "Bacterial small subunit ribosomal RNA", at positions 912 to 1509 of the family's 1533-position model. The record is from RNAcentral.